GGGGCUAUAGCUCAACUGGGAGAGCGCCGCCCUUGCACGGCGGAGGUUUGCGGUUCGAGUCCGCAUAGCUCCA
Molecule: transfer RNA, 73 nt
Rfam family: tRNA
About the family: Transfer RNA (tRNA) molecules are approximately 80 nucleotides in length. Their secondary structure includes four short double-helical elements and three loops (D, anti-codon, and T loops).